GACGAACGCUGGCGGCGUGCCUAAUACAUGCAAGUAGAACGCACAGUUUAUACCGUAGCUUGCUACACCAUAAACUGUGAGUUGCGAACGGGUGAGUAACGCGUAGGUAACCUGCCUGGUAGCGGGGGAUAACUAUUGGAAACGAUAGCUAAUACCGCAUAAUAUUGAUUAUUGCAUGAUAAUUGAUUGAAAGAUGCUAUUGCAUCACUACCAGAUGGACCUGCGUUGUAUUAGCUAGUAGGUGAGGUAACGGCUCACCUAGGCGACGAUACAUAGCCGACCUGAGAGGGUGAUCGGCCACACUGGGACUGAGACACGGCCCAGACUGCUACGGGAGGCAGCAGUAGGGAAUCUUCGGCAAUGGGCGAAAGUCUGACCGAGCAACGCCGCGUGAGUGAAGAAGGUUUUCGGAUCGUAAAGCUCUGUUGUAAGAGAAGAACGGGUGUGAGAGUGGAAAGUUCACACUGUGACGGUAUCUUACCAGAAAGGGACGGCUAACUACGUG
This 505-nucleotide ribosomal RNA is filed under the name uncultured bacterium. RNAcentral's name for it is "partial 16S ribosomal RNA". It matches the Rfam family "Bacterial small subunit ribosomal RNA", at positions 28 to 507 of the family's 1533-position model. The record is from RNAcentral.